Molecule: ribosomal RNA, 887 nt
Filed under: Pseudomonas fluorescens
Lineage: Bacteria; Pseudomonadati; Pseudomonadota; Gammaproteobacteria; Pseudomonadales; Pseudomonadaceae
Description: bacterial SSU rRNA
Rfam family: Bacterial small subunit ribosomal RNA
Source: RNAcentral
UGCCUAGGAAUCUGCCUGGUAGUGGGGGACAACGUUUCGAAAGGAACGCUAAUACCGCAUACGUCCUACGGGAGAAAGCAGGGGACCUUCGGGCCUUGCGCUAUCAGAUGAGCCUAGGUCGGAUUAGCUAGUUGGUGAGGUAAUGGCUCACCAAGGCGACGAUCCGUAACUGGUCUGAGAGGAUGAUCAGUCACACUGGAACUGAGACACGGUCCAGACUCCUACGGGAGGCAGCAGUGGGGAAUAUUGGACAAUGGGCGAAAGCCUGAUCCAGCCAUGCCGCGUGUGUGAAGAAGGUCUUCGGGUUGUAAAGCACUUUAAGUUGGGAGGAAGGGUUGUAGAUUAAUACUCUGCAAUUUUGACGUUACCGACAGAAUAAGCACCGGCUAACUCUGUGCCAGCAGCCGCGGUAAUACAGAGGGUGCAAGCGUUAAUCGGAAUUACUGGGCGUAAAGCGCGCGUAGGUGGUUCGUUAAGUUGGAUGUGAAAUCCCCGGGCUCAACCUGGGAACUGCAUUCAAAACUGUCGAGCUAGAGUAUGGUAGAGGGUGGUGGAAUUUCCUGUGUAGCGGUAAAAUGCGUAGAUAUAGGAAGGAACACCAGUGGCGAAGGCGACCACCUGGACUGAUACUGACACUGAGGUGCGAAAGCGUGGGGAGUAAACAGGAUUAGAUACCCUGGUAGUCCACGCCGUAAACGAUGUCAACUAGCCGUUGGGAGCCUUGAGCUCUUAGUGGCGCAGCUAACGCAUUAAGUUGACCGCCUGGGGAGUACGGCCGCAAGGUUAAAACUCAAAUGAAUUGACGGGGGCCCGCACAAGCGGUGGAGCAUGUGGUUUAAUUCGAAGCAACGCGAAGAACCUUACCAGGCCUUGACAUCCAAUGAACU